RNAcentral lists this long non-coding RNA (1867 nucleotides) under Triticum aestivum (bread wheat). RNAcentral describes it as "long non-coding RNA (TAES_LNC018002)". The record is from RNAcentral. Lineage: Eukaryota; Viridiplantae; Streptophyta; Magnoliopsida; Poales; Poaceae.
UCAAGUACUGUGCUCAAAAUGUCCAUCGGCUGCAUCCUUCUCGCCCCAGUUCAUCACCGACCACCACGCGAUUUACAUCCACUGCGAUCAUGGAUGACUCCGUGAGACAAUGUCGCCGUCCUAUUCUUCCAGAUACAAUGGGUCGGGUAAUACAGUAUUUUUUGAUAUGCUAAUCACGCUUCCGUUUCACUAAAUUUCCAGAACAAUACUACAUACUUUCUACUAAUAGUGUUCUGUCAACUGCAAAAAUCAGAAUUAUCGCAACAUUUUCAUGAUCUAUAUUCCAGCUUUUAGUAUAUGGUUUGUUUUGAGCACCGGAUAAGUGGUCAAGGGUCGUAUAUAAGAAUACUUGUUAUGCAGGUCAGUCUACAAUCUUCUCUGCCAUCAUUAUGUGCUUGCUGACUUGCCUUGCUCACAUUACUGCCGCAACAGUGAGCGGUCCUUGCAUGUCUUGUGUAUUCUUUUUUUUUUGCGACAAGUCUUGUGUAUUCAUUGAAAGCAUAUAAAAUAUGGAGUUGCAGCAUGGCUGCUAGCUGCUACUUUAAUGUUAUCACAAAAAGGCCAAAGCUCUUAUUUUCUAGAUAUGUCGAGUUCAAAUAUUAAGGAUAUUUUAAGAACAGAAUUUUCAGCAUCAUAUAUCUAUAGCAAUUAUGUUUCGAAAUGGAAUUGUUGGCUCCUAAUAAUAGUUUACUGAAUUCUCCCAAGUCGCAGUUAGGUUCUUCAAACUCUAUGACCUUAGAUGUAUUGUGACCUGAUGAUCUUCAUAUUUUUCUUGAUAUACCAGAAGCUGCAAUCACUGCUGAUGUACUUCCAUAUAGCAAUUGGGGAGAGGUAAAGAACACUUCAGUUGCCAUACUUUCUUAUUUCCCAUUUACCUGCUAUUUGACCUGUGAUGGUUUAAGAAUCUUUAACCUUCAGGAUUUCCAGGUAGGGAUGCAAGCGGGCAUCCCGCAGAAGCAGUAAAUUUGUUCAAAUUGAACUAAAUCUGAAUGGGAGGAUUAGAACUGACUUGAUCUACUGAAAGAACAUGCGGUGCCCCCAUGUUUAGUUUUGGUAAUUGAUGACAAUCUCUAUGGAUUAAUGGUUGCCUUGAGUUAUAUUUGAAGGAUUUGUCCAUAGGCAUUUCUUGAAGUCCAUGUGUUGGUUUCAAGGAAUUUAUGUGGUGACCAAGGUGUUAUUAAGGAAUUAUCCAAAGAUUGGUCAUGUGAGAGUUGAGCUUAUUGCAAUCAUGUCUUGAAGAAGAAGAUUGUGUGAUCAUUCAUGUUUACCUUCAAGACAUCAUCCAAAUGAAGAGAGUUGGAAAAAGUCAAGGUUGAUCAAGACUAAGUCAAGAGUGAAUCAACUUGAUCAACACACAAAGCGCACAAGAUGUACCGAGGGAUCAAGCGAUCCCAUGGUAUGGUAAGCAUUGUCAAUUACACUUUAUGUACUAACCAUGGUCUUCGUGAGAGUUCUUUGUGGGGUUAGGUUGCGGUGUGCAAGUCCAAGUGAAGCGGGCAAGUUCAAGUAAAGCAUCACGAAGAGAUCAAAUGCUUGAAGCUUGCCAUCCAUUGUGGUGACAAUGGACUUGUGAAGAUGUGCGGAAGGGUGGCUCACCAUAGUGGAGUAUGGGGGAGCAAUCAACUAGUCUUCAUCGAGCCAACGCAAUCAAGAAAGGUGGUCCAUCUUGAGGGAGUCAAGAUCGUCAUCAUCUAGCUCAAGUGGACCAUGUGCAAGACAAAGGUUUGCUUUUGAUAGGUUUUCUAUUUUACCGGUCUCAUGGUGGUAGUUGGGAGACCGGGUUAUAGGAUCGAUUGCCGUACUAUCAAGGGGGGCUCUCGAUGAGUAGCUUGAUCGUGUCGUUCAUAGAGAGCUUAAACCAUUGCAU